Molecule: ribosomal RNA, 253 nt
Filed under: uncultured bacterium
Lineage: Bacteria
Description: partial 16S ribosomal RNA
Rfam family: Bacterial small subunit ribosomal RNA
Source: RNAcentral
UACAGAGGGGGCAAGCGUUGUUCGGAAUUACUGGGCGUAAAGGGCGCGUAGGCGGCCUGUUAAGUCAGACGUGAAAUCCCUCGGCUCAACCGGGGAACUGCGUCUGAUACUGGCGGGCUUGAAUUCGGGAGAGGGAUGUGGAAUUCCAGGUAUAGCGGUGAAAUGCGCAGAUAUCAGGAGGAACACCAAUGGCGAAGGCAGCUCGCUGGGACGGUACUGACGCUGAGACGCGAAGGCGUGGGGAGCAAACGGG